UACGUAGGGCGCAAGCGUUGUCCGGAUUCACUGGGUGUAAAGGGUGCGCAGGCGGGCAGGUAAGUUAGAGGUGAAAUCUCACGGCUCAACCGUGAAACUGCCUUUGAUACUGCUUUUCUUGAGUUAGGGAGAGGUUGAUGGAAUUCCAGGUGUAGCGGUGAAAUGCGUAGAUAUCUGGAGGAAUACCGGUGGCGAAGGCGGCAUCCUGGACCGACAUUGACGCUGAUGAGCGAAAGCCAGGGGAGCAAACGGG
RNAcentral lists this ribosomal RNA (253 nucleotides) under uncultured bacterium. RNAcentral describes it as "partial 16S ribosomal RNA". It matches the Rfam family "Bacterial small subunit ribosomal RNA", at positions 524 to 776 of the family's 1533-position model. The record is from RNAcentral.